RNAcentral lists this unclassified non-coding RNA (284 nucleotides) under Glomeraceae sp. Its description in RNAcentral is "partial contains 5.8S ribosomal RNA and internal transcribed spacer 2". The stretch from base 1 to 71 matches the Rfam family "5.8S ribosomal RNA", at positions 84 to 154 of the family's 154-position model. The record is from RNAcentral. Lineage: Eukaryota; Fungi; Glomeromycota; Glomeromycetes; Glomerales; Glomeraceae.
GUGAAUCAUCGAAUUUUUGAACGCAAAUUGCACUCUCUGGCAUUCCGUAGGGUAUGCCUGUUUGAGGGUCAGUUUAAAUAAAAAUCGAGGUGUGGCUGUUUUGUGAUCCAUCGGAUUUGGGUGAUCUGUGACCUUUUAAAAAGUUUAAGUGUCCUAAAAUUGAUACAUUGUGCAUAUCAGACGUACAUAAGAAUAUUUUUUUAUUCGUCCGGAGUUGCUAUCUUUGUAUUAGGUAUGAGGAUGCUGUUUGUGGUAUUGUAUCUAUUAUAUACUCAUAUUUUUGU